UGCUGCCCCGUGCGAUGUUCAAAAAACGUCCUAGACGCCAUCUUGUGCCCCUCAGCCUGACUGCUCGGGAGCGGGGCUAGAUCCGACCAGUUUCCGUCCUAACCCGUCGCCAUUGAAGAAGUGUUUCCGCCUCAUCCACAUCUCCACCUCUAUACACAAUAUAAGAUGGAGUAUGUUGCGGUAUACGUUUUCAAUCGCAGACUGCGCAGAGAAAGGAGAUAUCGGGACCCACUUGACCCACUACACGUUAGUGAUGAACAUCUGUUGCGGGUGUAUAGAUUUCCCCGUCAAGAAAUCAUCAGGCUCUGUGAUGAGCUGCGUCCCCACCUGGAAAGGAGAACCAGGAGGGCACAUGCACUCCCAACUCACACCCAGGUUCUGGCUGCACUAAGGUUUUUUGCAAGUGGCAGCUUCCAAACUGUUAUUGGAGACACUGUUGGAAUGGACCAAUCAAGUGUUAGUAGGGCCAUUGACAAAGUAACUCAAGUACUUUGUGUAAAGGCCAGUCAAGAGAUAAAGAUGCCAACCACAGCAAUAGAUAUCAACAGAGCUAUGCAGGACUUCAGACGCACUGGUAACUUUCCAAGAGUGAUAGGUGCCAUUGAUGGAACCCACAUUCGCAUCAAGGCCCCAGAGGAAAAUGAAGAGAUUUAUGUCAACCGGAAACAAUUCCACUCCCUAAAUAUACAGGCUGUGGGUGACACCAACAACAAGAUCAUCAGCUACGACACCAGUUACCCAGGGAGCACACAUGAUUCCUUUAUAUGGAGACACUGUGCCCUUAAGCAGCGGUUCCUUGCUGGUCAUUUUGGAGAUGCUCUUUUAAUAGGAGACAGUGGGUAUCCUCUGGAGCCAUUCCUGAUGACCCCAGUUGUACCCGACAACA
This is a long non-coding RNA of Eriocheir sinensis (Chinese mitten crab), 886 nucleotides long. RefSeq lists it as uncharacterized. NCBI's taxonomy places the organism in Eukaryota, Metazoa, Arthropoda, Malacostraca, Decapoda, Varunidae. The transcript is spliced from 3 exons. The record is from RefSeq and is a predicted model, not a curated record.